CCUGUCCUUGACUACUUGGCUC
Molecule: microRNA, 22 nt
Filed under: Scyliorhinus torazame (cloudy catshark)
Lineage: Eukaryota; Metazoa; Chordata; Chondrichthyes; Carcharhiniformes; Scyliorhinidae
Description: Sto-Mir-26-P2_3p* (star (passenger))
Source: RNAcentral